AUGGGGCAUGUUGAUGAUAUGGAUGACUAUCACAUAACACUUAACCUUGACCAAAGGAUGGAUCAGAGAAGAUAUAAUGCGCCGACCACUUCAGAAGUAGCAGCUGUGUGGGUGGAGGGCAGUGAACGUCGUAGACAGUUCGGUAAUAGUGUCAUCCUGCAUGGGAAGAAUAUAGAUAUAUACGGAAUCAAGUCCUAUCAUGGAUGCUAUGAUGCGUUGUCGUACCCUCUAUUCUUCCCUAGAGGCGAACUUGGGUGGCAUGCUGAUAUCUCGAAGGAAGGUGUGUCCUAUGAAACUGUGAUGGCAGCUCGUGCAGCCCGUCUAGCUCAUGGUCAUAGUGAUGACUCCUCUAAUCCUGGUGAUAAAGAUGAUGAGGACGAGGAUGAUAAUGCAGGUUCCAGAGGGAGACUAUGUGUAUCUGUGCGGGACUACUAUUGCUACACAUUUCAGAUGCGUCCUGGGAUAUUCAACCCAAUCCUCUAUGGUAAGCGUCUUUUCCAACAGUUUGCGGUAGACACACACAUCAAGAUAGAGAACUCCCGGUUGGACUAU
This 552-nucleotide ribosomal RNA is filed under the name Triticum aestivum (bread wheat). RNAcentral's name for it is "partial small subunit ribosomal RNA". The record is from RNAcentral. Lineage: Eukaryota; Viridiplantae; Streptophyta; Magnoliopsida; Poales; Poaceae.